Molecule: long non-coding RNA, 1618 nt
Filed under: Citrus sinensis (sweet orange)
Lineage: Eukaryota; Viridiplantae; Streptophyta; Magnoliopsida; Sapindales; Rutaceae
Description: long non-coding RNA (CSIN_LNC004782)
Source: RNAcentral
CGAUAACAAAUUUCGUCAUUAUCAUUUGGAGCCCUAUUAUCCAAAUCUUACAAUGAAGCCUAUGAAUUUUUGGAGAGAAUUGCUAACAAUAACUACCAGUGGCCAUCAACUAGACAAAUUGUAGCAAGAGGAGUAGCAGAGGUACAUAAUAUAGAUGCAAUUACAACACUAUCAGCUCAAGUAACAUCAUUGACUAACAUGGUAAAAGCCAUGACUUCUACUCCUGCAGCAGUAAAGCAAGUUGCUGAACUAUCUUGUGUGUAUUGUGGUGAGGAGCAUGUAUUUGACAACUGUCUAGGAAAUCCAGCAUCAGUAAACUAUGUGGGCAACACCCAAAUUUCUCAUGAAGCAAUCAAAAUUAGCAUGCUCCAGCACCCAGUGGACAGAACAGACAUGCUCAGCCACCUAGUUUUCAUCAGCAGAAUCAAGGGCAAAAACACACUAGCCAUGAUCAAAUCACCUCAUUAGAAACACUUAUUAAGGAAUAUAUCGUGAAAAAUGAAGCAAUUGUGCAAAGUCAAACUGUAUCUCUGAGAAACCUGGAAAACCAAAUUGGAUAGCUUGCCACAGUAAUGAGUAGCAGAUCUCAGGGAAGUUUACCCAGCAAUACAGAAGAUCCAAGAAGAGAGGGUAAAGAACACUGUAAAGUAAUCAACUUAAGAUCUGAGAAGAAUGUUGAUAUUCAUGUUGAUGUGACUUGGAAUUUAACUCCUCACAAGAACCACCUCAAGAUGAAAGGAUGUUACAGCAACCUAGCCAUCAAGAUACUGGUACUAGUGGUCAAGCUACAGCAACCUUGGAAGGAAAUCACCCAAUAACUCCUGAAGAAGAUGUUGCAACACCAGUGGUGAAAACUUACAAUAAAUCAAAGGAGUAAAGAUUGGUACCUCCUGAAGCUGUACAACAAUUUAGGCAUCAAUCUCCUUUCCCACAGAGAUUCCAGAAACAAAAACAAGACAAACAAUUUAGCAAAUUCCUGGAAGUGCUAAAGCAAUUACACAUCAACAUACCUUUUGUGGAAGCAUUGGAACAAAUGCCUAAUUAUGUGAAAUUUUUAAAAGAUAUUUUGGCUAGAAAAAAAAGGUUCAGAGAAUUUGAAACUGUUGCUUUAACAUAGGAAUGCAGUCACAUGCUUCAUAGUAAGAUUCCUUAAAAACUGAAGGAUCCAGGAAGCUUCACAAUACUAUGUUCAAUUGGAACUGGGUAUAAUGGCAGAGCACUCUGUGACUUGGGAGCCAGCAUUAAUCUAACGCCAUUAUUUGUAUUUAAGCAAUUGGGAAUAGGAGAGUGCAGGCCAACAAUAGUCACUAUGCAAUUGGCUGACAUAUCUCAUGCAUACCCUGAAGGAAAGAUUGAAGAAGUAUUGGUGAAGGUUGACAAAUUCAUUUUUCCAGUAGAUUUCAUUGUACUAGACUUUGAGGCUGAUAAAGAGGUACCAAUUAUACUUGGAAGACCUUUCCUGACAACCGGGAAAACUCUUAUAGAUGUGCAGAAAAGAGAGCUAACCAUGAGAGUGAAUGACCAAUAAGUCACCUUUAAUGUAUUAGAAGCUAUAAAGAGUCCUGAUGAGGUAGAAGAUUGCAAUUUUUUUAGUGUUGUGGACCUUACUGUAGCAGAC